UUAGAGUUUGAUCCUGGCUCAGGACGAACCCUUGCGGCGUGCCUAACACAUGCAAGUCGAGCGGAGGUAUAUACGAAGAAGUUUUCGGACGGAAUUGUAUAUACUUUAGCGGCGGACGGGUGAGUAACGCGUGAGCAACCUGCCUUUCACAGGGGGAUAAGGCGGCGAAAGCCGCUCUAAUACCGCAUGAGACCACGGUGAUGAUAUUACAGGGGUCAAAGGAGCACUCCGGUGAAAGAUGGGCUCGCGUCCGAUUAGGUAGUUGGUGGGGUAAUGGCCCACCAAGCCCGUGAUCGGCAGCCGGCCUGAGAGGGUGAACGGCCACAUUGGAACUGAGACACGGUCCAAACUCCUACGGGAGGCAGCAGUGGGGAAUAUUGGGCAAUGGGGGGAACCCUGACCCAGCAACGCCGCGUGAGGGAAGAAGGUUUUCGGAUUGUAAACCUCUGUUCUUGGGGAAGAGUGAAAGACGGUACCCAAGGAGGAAGCCCCGGCUAACUACGUGCCAGCAGCCGCGGUAAUACGUAGGGGGCGAGCGUUGUCCGGAAUGAUUGGGCGUAAAGGGCGCGUAGGCGGCUUUGCAAGUCAGUAGUGGAAGUCCAUUUUUCAAGGAUGGAAGUGCUACAGAAGCUGCGGAGCUUGAGUGCAGGAGAGGUUAUCGGAAUUCCCGGUGUAGCGGUGAAAUGCGUAGAGAUCGGGAGGAACACCAGUGGCGAAGGCGGGUAACUGGACUGCAACUGACGCUGAGGCGCGAAAGUGUGGGGAGCAAACAGAAGUAGCUACCCUGGCAGUCCACACUGUAAACGAUGAAUGCUAGGUGUAGGAGGUAUCGACCCCUUCUGUGCCGCAGUAAACACAGUAAGCAUUCCGCCUGGGGAGUACGGUCGCAAGAUUAAAACUCAAAGGAAUUGACGGGGGCCCGCACAAGCAGCGGAGCAUGUGGUUUAAUUCGAAGCAACGCGAAGAACCUUACCCGGGCUCGAACGGUGCAUGAAUAUACGAGAGAUUGUAUAGUCCUUCGGGACAUGUAUCGAGGUGCUGCAUGGUUGUCGUCAGCUCGUGCCGUGAGGUGUCGGCUUAAGUGCCAUAACGAGCGCAACCCUUGUCAUUAGUUGCCAUCAGGUCAAGCUGGGGACUUUAAUGAGACUGCCACCGUAAGGUGUGAGGAAGGGGGGGAUGACGUCAAAUCAGCACGGCCCUUAUGUCCGGGGCGACACACGUGUUACAAUGGGAGGUACAGAGGGCAGCUAUCCGGUGACGGAAUGCUAAUCUCCAAAACCUUUCUCAGUUCGGAUUGGAGUCUGCAACUCGACUCCAUGAAGGUGGAUUCGCUAGUAAUCGCGCAUCAGCCAUGGCGCGGUGAAUACGUUCCCGGGCCUUGCACAAAGCGCCCGUCA
Molecule: ribosomal RNA, 1397 nt
Filed under: uncultured bacterium
Lineage: Bacteria
Description: bacterial SSU rRNA
Rfam family: Bacterial small subunit ribosomal RNA
Source: RNAcentral